AUCUCUGGCACCCGCUUUUUUUGCUGCUAUCUUGUUCAUUUUUUCUCUUGAAGGGGAGAUCACGUGAGAUCAAUGGAGGGAAGUGCAAAAAAACGACGCAUCUGUGAAUACGAUGGAACAACGACAAGCCCUUCUUGUAGUCACGGAAUGGCUACUUCAUCCGGAUAUGACUAUGAAGUAUUCUUGAGUUUUAAAGGAGCAGACACUCGAUCAGGUUUUACCGACUUCCUUUACACUAGUCUUGAUAAUGCAGGAAUCCGCACAUUCAAGGACGACGAAGAGCUCCGCGUUGGGGAAGAGUUUGCCCCAAAACUUCUCCAAGCAAUUAAUCAGUCAAAGAUCUCAAUACCUAUCUUUUCAAAGGGUUAUGCAUCUAGCGUAUGGUGUCUGAAGGAGGUAGCCCAAAUGGUCGAGCGCCAAAAAACUGGAAAACAAAAGAUCUUGCCCAUUUUUUAUGAUGUGGCACCUUCAGAGGUUCGACACCAAACUGGAGGCUAUGGAGAGGCAUUUCGUUCACAUAAAAACAAGAAGCGGCAUGACGAAGAAACUAUGCAAGAGUGGAAGAAUGCUCUCAAUGUAGUUGGGGCAAUAAACGGUUGGAACCUGCACAGCAUGUCCAACAGGCGAGAAGGAGAGUUUGCAAAAGAACUCACCGAGGAGGUUUACAAAGAAUUGAAAAAGGCCUAUUUGGUCAUAUCAGAUUACUUGGUCGGUGUCGACAAUCAUGUGGAUGCUAUCAUGGAAAUGAUAGGUGCUCGGACUAGUGAAACACGGAUUAUAGGAAUUCACGGGAUGGGUGGCAUCGGAAAAACGACUAUUGCCAAAAUGAUCUACAAUAGGCUUUCACACAACAUUGAGAAUUGUUGUUUUCUUCACGAUAUUCGAGAAACGUCAAAAGGUAAAGGCAUUCAAUUCUUACAGAAUCAACUCAUCUUUGACAUCCUCAAAAUAAAAUGCAUGGAUAUAAAAGACACUAAUGAAGGAACUCAGACAAUUAAAGACAUGUUGUCUAAUAAAAGAGUCCUCCUCCUUCUCGAUGAUGUGGAAGAAGAGAAUCAUACUAAUGCGCUUGUAGGUAAGCGUGAUUGGUUAGGCAAAGGGAGCAAAAUUAUUAUUACUACAAGGAACAAAGGCAUUCUUGAUAUUCCCGAAGUGGACCACAGUUAUGAGCUUAGCAUUAUGGAUCCCGUUCGAUCUCUUCAACUUUUUAGCAAAUAUGCCUUCGGAAGAGAUUCUCCGUUAGAAGAUUAUAUCGAGCAAUCCAACAGGGCGAUAUGCAUUGCUGGAGGUCUUCCGCUUGCUCUUGAGGUCAUCGGUUCACUUUUAUGUCGCACUAAAAAGGAAAUGUGGGAUGCCACAUUGAAGAUGCUUGAAAGAGUUCCUCAUGAUAAAGUUCAGAGUAAACUGAAAAUAAGUUAUGAUGCAUUAGAUUUUCGGCAAAAGCUUAUAUUCCUCGAUAUAGCUUGUCUUUUUAUUGGAUAUGACAAAGACAUUCUGGUUCAUUUCUGGGAUGAAUCUUAUUUUUUCCCAAAAGUAACCAUGAAAGUUUUGCAGAACAUGUCUUUGAUAAAGAUUAAUGAGGAUAAUAAAGUGUUGAUGCACGAUCAACUCAGAGACCUUGGACGAGAAAUAGUCCGUCAAAAAAGUGACAUGCGGAUGGAGAAGCAAAGUAGAGUGUGGGAUCUCAAGGAAGGAUUAGAUUUGCUCAUGAGAUAUAAGGGAAAUAAAAAAGUGGAAGCUCUUCGUCUCAAGCUUGACCAUGAGUGGCAGCACUGUAUUACCUACGACAACUUUAAGACAUUAUCAAAUCUAAGGUUCCUUGAAGUUGGCGGUUCGAAGGAACAUUUUCGUGUAGAAGAGAGGCUUCUCUGGGGCGAAUUGCCAUCAAAUGUUCUUCCAACCAAUGAUUUCCUGCAGAAUUCAGACCUCCUUCCACAGUUACGAUGGCUUUCUUGGCAUGAUAUUCUCCCAACAUUUAAGAUAACAGCUUUCUCCAUGAAGGAUGUAGUCAUUCUUGACCUAUCUGAGAGUACAAUUACACAUAAUUGGAAAGGAUGGAGCCACAUAAAGGUUAUGAGGAAUUUGAAAGUUUUGAAUUUGGCCCGUUGCCUACACUUGGAGAGAACCCCCGUCUUCUCUCCUUGUUCGAAUUUAGAGCGUUUGAUCUUAGAGAGCUGUAUAUUAUUAAGAGAAAUUGAUACGUCGAUUUGUCAUUUGAAAAGCUUAGUUUUCUUAGAUGUAAGCUAUUGUGAGAAUCUUCAGAGUUUGCCAGACGAGCUGGGUAGAGAUCUUGCAAGACUUGAGUACCUAUCUCUAAAUUACUGCAAAUUGUUAGUGAGGCUUCCGGAUUCCAUUGGAAAUUUGGAAUCACUGAUUGAGUUGGAUAUGUCCUACACGUCGAUCAAAGAACUGCCUCAGUCCAUCGGAAAUCUGAAGAAUUUGAAAGUAGUGAAGAUGUGGGACAGCGAAAUAAGCGAAAUACCAGAGGCCCUUUGGACGAUUGGGAAGCUCGAAGAAAUAGAAGGCUUAAAUAGUUUUGGAAUCCAUGUGAGAAUUGGCAAUUGCAUCUACGAGAAUCAAUCCCUGAGGAUCUUGAGAUUGGUUGGUGCGCGUAUACACGCGCUUCCCAGGCUUCCUGAAAGCCUUGUCACUCUAGAUUUGCAUUCGCUGUACAUGGACAGGUUACCGGAUCUCUCAAACCUCGCUAAUUUGAAGGAACUGCAUCUGAGCUUUGGCCCACCACCUGAUUAUGGUUGGAAAUCUGAUGGGCUUGUGGAAUAUCCGAUACUGGACUCUGAGCAUGUGACUACCUCGCCAACAGACCUUACCCUCCCUCCUCAACUCAAGAAGCUUGACCUCAAGUGCCCUAAUCUGCGUCGCCUCCCGAGGCUUCCCUCAAGAUUAUCCUUCUUGAAUUUGCACGAGUGCUACUCACUUUGCUGGAUGGAGGAUCUUUCGAAUUUGAAGAAUCUAUCUUCUCUAAGGAUUUCGCACGCUGCAAUCGCAGAGGUUCGAGGCCUUGAUUGUUUGGAGAACCUACGACAUGUGGAGCUUUGGUACCUUGGACAGUUGGAGAUACUACCUGAUCUAAGCAAUUUAAACAAGCUAAGCCGUCUUCGAGUAGCAGCUUGUCAUGAGCUGGUCGAGAUUCAAGGCGAACUGCCACAAUCUUUGGAAGAACUAGAGAUUAUUUACUGUGGAUCUUUACAGAAGGUGCCUAAUAUGUCAAGCUCGAUGAGACUGCGAAAGGUUGAAGUAAAUCACUGCAGGGAAUUAAAUGUGGAGGAAAUUUCUUCGCUUUGCUCGGAGAAGUCAAUUGAAUUUGUGGGAGAAGUCUGACCAACCUGAAUAUGAAUCUGAGGGAGAAGAGAGAGGAAUUUGAAUCUGAACUGAACACAGAAGCGGACGAACCUGAACAUGAAUCUGAAUAUGAGGGAGAAGAUAAGGAAUAAGUGCACAUUGCUCUUGAAAGCUUCUUGAUCCACGACCACAAAUUGUUCUCUUG
Rhodamnia argentea is the source of this 3505-nucleotide RNA transcript. It is a transcript of the gene named disease resistance protein RUN1-like, with no coding region annotated. The record is from RefSeq and is a predicted model, not a curated record. The transcript has 6 exons. Lineage: Eukaryota; Viridiplantae; Streptophyta; Magnoliopsida; Myrtales; Myrtaceae.